CCUACGGGAGGCAGCAGUGAGGAAUAUUGGUCAAUGGACGAGAGUCUGACCCAGCCAAGUCGCGUGAAGGAUGACUGCCCUAUGGUUUGUAAACUUCUUUUAUAAAGGAAUAAAACGAGGCCCGUGUGCCUUUUUACAUGUACUUUAUGAAUAAGGAUCCGCUAACUCCGUGCCAGCAGCCGCGAUAAUUCGGAGGAUCCGAGCGUUUUCCGGAUUUAUUGGGUUUAAAGGGAGCGUAGAUGGGUUGUUAAGUCAGUUGUGAAAGUUUACGGCUCAACCGUAAAAUUACAAGUGAUACUGGCAGACUUGAGUACAGUUGAGGUAGGCGGAAUUCGUGGUGUAGCGGUGAAAUGCUUAGAUAUCACGAAGAACCCCGAUUGCGAAGGCAGCUUACUAAACUGUGACUGACAUUGAUGCUCGAAAGUGUGGGGAGCAAACAGGAUUAGAUACCCCUGUAGUC
RNAcentral lists this ribosomal RNA (460 nucleotides) under uncultured bacterium. Its description in RNAcentral is "partial 16S ribosomal RNA". It matches the Rfam family "Bacterial small subunit ribosomal RNA", at positions 338 to 795 of the family's 1533-position model. The record is from RNAcentral.